This 451-nucleotide RNase P RNA is filed under the name Acidobacteriota bacterium. RNAcentral describes it as "Acidobacteria bacterium (activated sludge metagenome) RNase P RNA component class A". It matches the Rfam family "Bacterial RNase P class A". From Rfam's summary of the family: Ribonuclease P (RNase P) is a ubiquitous endoribonuclease, found in archaea, bacteria and eukarya as well as chloroplasts and mitochondria. Its best characterised activity is the generation of mature 5'-ends of tRNAs by cleaving the 5'-leader elements of precursor-tRNAs. Lineage: Bacteria; Pseudomonadati; Acidobacteriota. RNAcentral also lists the same sequence under 1 other name. The record is from RNAcentral.
AGAGCAAAUCAAGCGAUCGCUGUUCUCUUUAAGUCUAAAUUAGUUACUAAUUUGGAUUUAAGGGAAGAGAGGAAAGUCCGAACACUACAGGGCAAUGGACUGGUUAACUGCCAGGCGGGAUAACCCGACGACAAGUGCAACAGAGAAUAGACCAGCCGAUGGCUAGCUUGCUAGUACAGGUGAUGGGUGAAACGGUGGGGAAGCAAUUCUUAAUGUAAUAGCCCACCAGCGGUUGUGGUGACACAGCCGGCUAGGUAAACUCUCCGUGGUGCAAGACCAAAUAGGGAGGCGUAUGUAGAGUGGCCCGCUUGAGUUUAUUACUGCUUUGGCGGUAAUAAUACGCUCUCCGGGUAGGUUGCUUGAGCUAGUUGGUGACAGCUAGCCUAGAUGAAUGAUCGCUAUCUUAGCGUAAGUUAAGAAACAGAAUUCGGCUUAUAGAUUUGCUUUAACA